GUCAAUAUAACUCUGGUGGUUGAG
This 24-nucleotide unclassified non-coding RNA is filed under the name Mus musculus (house mouse). RNAcentral describes it as "oocyte_clustered_small_RNA4543". Lineage: Eukaryota; Metazoa; Chordata; Mammalia; Rodentia; Muridae. The record is from RNAcentral.